RNAcentral lists this ribosomal RNA (496 nucleotides) under uncultured bacterium. Its description in RNAcentral is "partial 16S ribosomal RNA". It matches the Rfam family "Bacterial small subunit ribosomal RNA", at positions 28 to 506 of the family's 1533-position model. The record is from RNAcentral.
GAUGAACGCUGGCGGCGUGCCUAAUACAUGCAAGUCGAGCGAACAGACGAGGAGCCUGCUCCUCUGACGUUAGCGGCGGACGGGUGAGUAACACGUGGAUAACCUACCUAUAAGACUGGGAUAACUUCGGGAAACCGGAGCUAAUACCGGAUAAUAUAUUGAACCGCAUGGUUCAAUAGUGAAAGACGGUUUUGCUGUCACUUAUAGAUGGAUCCGCGCCGCAUUAGCUAGUUGGUAAGGUAACGGCUUACCAAGGCAACGAUGCGUAGCCGACCUGAGAGGGUGAUCGGCCACACUGGAACUGAGACACGGUCCAGACUCCUACGGGAGGCAGCAGUAGGGAAUCUUCCGCAAUGGGCGAAAGCCUGACGGAGCAACGCCGCGUGAGUGAUGAAGGUCUUCGGAUCGUAAAACUCUGUUAUUAGGGAAGAACAAAUGUGUAAGUAACUAUGCACGUCUUGACGGUACCUAAUCAGAAAGCCACGGCUAACUACGU